Molecule: ribosomal RNA, 207 nt
Filed under: uncultured bacterium
Lineage: Bacteria
Description: partial 16S ribosomal RNA
Rfam family: Bacterial small subunit ribosomal RNA
Source: RNAcentral
CGCGUAGGCGGGCCGGCCAGUCGGAGGUGAAAGCCCCCAGCUCAACUGGGGAAGUGCCCCCGAUACUGCCGGCCUUGAGGGAGGUAGGGGCGUGCGGAACUUCCGGUGGAGCGGUGAAAUGCGUAGAUAUCGGAAGGAACACCGGUGGCGAAGGCGGCACGCUGGGCCUCACCUGACGCUGAGGCGCGAAAGCCAGGGGAGCGAACG